Macaca mulatta (Rhesus monkey) is the source of this 2079-nucleotide non-coding RNA. Lineage: Eukaryota; Metazoa; Chordata; Mammalia; Primates; Cercopithecidae. The record is from RefSeq and is a predicted model, not a curated record.
GUUGUUAGGGACAUCACAAUUUAUUAGCUUCACUUAGAACCUUCAAAUGUUUAAACAUAUGGUACAUGGAUCUCUAUUUGUACUCUUAUUACUCUGCCCUGCAAAUGUUACAGGGCAGGCCUGACAAAACUUGAGGCACAGCUUCCCCCUAGCUUAGAGUGGCAGCUCUAGAAAAUAUCGACAUCCAUUCAGCAGGAGCUACUUGACUUGCAGUUGGGUCUGCGACCUCAAGCAACUCCCUGUCCAGCAGGGGACAUCUAUCAUGGCCACAAGGUACACAUGCCCUGAGAUGGUCUACUGUCCAAGCAAAGUAGUCUGGGAGAUCAGAGAAGGGGUAGGAGCAGCAUGGAAGGCUCUACCAAAAGGGAGAGUGUUUAAGAGGAAUUCCCAUUGAGUAGUGACAGCGGGAGAGGCCUGGCAGGAGGAAGGAACAAUAUACAAAAGGUAUCCCUUUCUCCUCUUUGAUCCCCUUAUUCUCCUCUUCCUCCCGUACAUAGAGCUGGAAAUAGAAGUUUGAAAUACAAGAAUGUCUUCACUGUUGUCUCCUGCUUCCCUGGAGAGAUGCAUACUUAUUCUUGCCUUGAGGGAGAACAAAAAGGGAACACACAAUUUAAUAUGUAGAACUUUGUACCAGGUACUGAGUUGAAAGCUUUACAGGCAUAAUCGCUUGUAAUCCUGAUGACAAUCUAUUGAGAUAUGUAGUAUCAUCUGCACUCUACAGAUACAACUGAGACUCAGAAACAACUUAAUUUGUCUACAGUCACAUUAAGUUGCAUGCUUUGGAUGGAAAGACCCAAAGGCUUGUCUGAUUCUAAAGCCUGUGUUAUUCCCGUUCCAUUAGAUUGCUCCCACUGAGCCCCCAUCCACAGGAAGAAUGGUCCUGGCUUUGCUGACAUGCCAUAUAACCUAGGUUUUAAACCAUGUGACCACAAAAGGUACUCCAGGCCCAAACAUGAUGAUGAUGAUAAUGAUCAUCAAUACUUGUGGAGUACUUACAUGCCAGGAACUGCACUAAGGCUUUUGCUAUGCGAUAGUGAUGAUAUAUGUUGUGACCAUUUCACAUAUGAGGAAACUAAGGCUUGGUGUUUGGUCUCACUCAAGCCAGGAAAUGGCAGAGGUAGGAUGAAUAUGUGCGAAACCAGAGCUGAUCUCAUAAUCUUGGCCCAGAACGGCUUCAAAACUGGGCAUGCCCUGUAUCUGCCUUGUCAGUUUCUUCCUCUACCUCCUAACACCGAUCCUUGGAGCAUAAACUCACAGGACCUAGCUGAAGGCAUACUCUCAAGUCCAAGAGCCAAUCAGCACUUGCUGUGAGCUUUGGGGAUGGCCCCCGCCCCCUUCCUAUGCCUUAAGGGUUGGCUCCUCACAGUGAUAAUGUGGCAAGAUUAGUCACUGCUUGCUGUUGGUUGAUUAUAGCUAUUCUUUUCUGUAAAUGAAGUUUAAAAGUCAUCAAAGGGUUUGUCAGCUGUGACUUAUGAGCCUCUUUCCCACAGGGAAGUCAGGCAGUGACAAAUGCCCCUCUUGUUUUGCCAUCCAUUACAAGUUGGAAGGUGCCAUGUUCCAAUUACUGGAAAUCCCGAUGGAGCUCAAGGAAAACCCUGCUCCAAGCUAUGGCCAUUACUCAGGCCUGGCAGGGCUGCCGUAGGCGCAGGCCCAACUAGGUAGGAAUGGAAUAAGAGUGUUCUUCUGAUUUUGUGAGCAGGCCCCUUCUACCCCUUAACUUAAUAUCCCUGGUAGUUUAUCCUAGACACAUUUCACAGACAAUAAAAACAUAGGUACCAUGUGGGCUGUCUGAAAGUACAGCAGGAUCAAGACUGCUUACGACAGGCAGACAUAAGGAAAUAAGGUCAUGCUGUCCUAUGAACUAGGCAGGAAACAUGAUGUUGAGGAAGGGUGGGGAAGGCAGAGGAUAAAGUAUGUAGGAUGUUCAGAGAAAGUAGUGAGUAAAAGGAACCUUACAGAUCCUCUAGAGUAACCAAUGGCCUCAGUACUGAAUACUCAUUAUAUGCCAGGCCUAUCUAGCCAGAUGCUGUGGAACCAGAGAUGAAUAAAGUCCCUGGUUCCUAGGAUAUGCCACCUGAU